UACGGUGAAUACGUUCCCGGGACCUUGCACACACCGCCCGUCAAGCCAUGGAAGCCGGGGGGGACCUGAAGUCGGUAACCGUAAGGAGCCGCCUAGGGUAAAACUGGGUGACUGGGGCUAAGUCGUAACAAGGGUACC
RNAcentral lists this ribosomal RNA (138 nucleotides) under uncultured bacterium. RNAcentral describes it as "partial 16S ribosomal RNA". It matches the Rfam family "Bacterial small subunit ribosomal RNA", at positions 1358 to 1501 of the family's 1533-position model. The record is from RNAcentral.